UAGAUACCCUGGUAGUCCGCACAGUCAACUAUGUGCACUAGAUGUCUGGUCGACAGACCGGGUGUCGAAGCAAACGCGAUAAGUGCACCGCCUGGGGAGUAUGCCCGCAAGGGUGAAACUCAAAGGAAUUGACGGGGGCCCGCACAAGCGGUGGAGCAUGUGGUUUAAUUCGAUGGUACGCGAGGAACCUUACCUGGGUUUGACAUACACAGGAAUUAUAUAGAGAUAUGUAAGCGCAGCAAUGCGCCUG
Molecule: ribosomal RNA, 250 nt
Filed under: uncultured bacterium
Lineage: Bacteria
Description: partial 16S ribosomal RNA
Rfam family: Bacterial small subunit ribosomal RNA
Source: RNAcentral